Molecule: ribosomal RNA, 1167 nt
Filed under: Triticum aestivum (bread wheat)
Lineage: Eukaryota; Viridiplantae; Streptophyta; Magnoliopsida; Poales; Poaceae
Description: partial small subunit ribosomal RNA
Source: RNAcentral
AUGGGGGUAAGAUCACAUGUCGAAGGAGAUGGUGCUGUUGGGCGGGUUGUAGAAGGUGACGACCCUGCCGUUGAGCGGCUGCACCGGCCGGGCGUUCUGCUUGGCGGCGGCCGGCAGCGGCGCGGUGACGAGGUCGAUCUGCUCCUUGGUCAUCUGCCUCACCUUGCCCAGGACGUUCCAGUAGACGUUCUCGGCGCACGGUGGCGCCGUGAGGGAGCCCAUGUACCGGAAGUAGCUCCCCGUCCGCUUCUCCAGCGAGCGCAGGUGCACCAGCCCGGUCGCCACGCGCGCGUCCUGCUCGCCGUAGCUGCACCGGUCGGCCGCCAGCUCCGCCAGCUUCCGCUUGAGCUGGUAGUAGAAGGAGUCCGGGGCGCCGAGCUUGUAGAGGAUGGCGAUGAUGGCGAGCUCGCCGGAGCCGGCGUCGCUCUCGUGGACGAGCUGGACCUCGACCGGGUGCCUCUUGCCGUUGAUGGUGUGCUCGGAGGGCGUCUUCCACCGGAGCUUCUUGAGGCUGAAGGCCUUGCCGCCGAUGGACACGCUGCCAGGCUUGCCGUUGAACGUCAUCUGCAUUGCCAUCCAUUUGCCAAAUCGGCCGGUCAGUGCUCAGUACAUGGACGCGCGCGCGUCACCGGCUUGGAGGCGUCAAUGGAAGGGACUUGCCGAGAUUUCUUUGCCGUUGUUGAUGAGGGUGGCGUCGGUGGCGACGUAGGUGCGGGUGAGGGGGUCGAGGUCGGGCUUGGGGACGGCGCUCUUGGUGACGAUGUCGAUGGGGGACUGCUUCCUCGCCGCGGCGCCGCCGUUGCAUGCGCUGUACUUGGGGCUCAGCUUGGCCCAGUUCUCCGGGCCCAGCUUGGUCCCCGACACGUAGCUGUAGUCCGGAUCGUCGGCUGCAACGGACGCCGCCGACGCCGCGACAGCGACGACCAAGGCGAGGACGGCCCGACGGGACGCCAUUGCCGGCACCGUGGAUCGACCGUUUCUUGCCUUUCCCCUGAUUGGUCAAGUCGAAGGAAUCGAUCGCGCGAGGCCGGCCGCUUUGCCGCGCGUGUAUUUACAGGCACGAAACUCGGUUGCUGGGUGGGACGGGUGGACGGGAGUGGAGGUAGAAGGGGGAGGAGCUUAAUUUGCUUGGCGCCAAGAAUAGCGCUCUGUCUGCUGCCGUGCUGA